AUAAUAAUCGGGCAUAAGUAUACCACCGAAGCUAUGGACUUAUUUUAUAAGUGGUAGGGGAGCAUUCUAGUUACGUUGAAGGUGCAUGGCAAUGUGUGCUGGAGUGGCUAGAAAAGAAAAUGUAGGAAUGAGUAACGAUAAUGCGGGCGAGAAACCCGCACACCGUAAGACUAAGGUUUCCUGAACAACGCUAAUCGGUUCAGGGUUAGUCGGGUCCUAAGGCGCACCCGAAUGGGGAAGUCGA
RNAcentral lists this ribosomal RNA (244 nucleotides) under Striatella unipunctata. RNAcentral's name for it is "partial Bacterial large subunit ribosomal RNA". It matches the Rfam family "Bacterial large subunit ribosomal RNA", at positions 1167 to 1418 of the family's 2925-position model. Lineage: Eukaryota; Bacillariophyta; Striatellaphyceae; Striatellales; Striatellaceae. The record is from RNAcentral.